UACGGGGGGAGCAAGCGUUGUUCGGAUUUACUGGGCGUAAAGGGCGCGUAGGCGGCCACCGCAAGUCAGUUGUGAAAUCUCUGGGCUUAACCCAGAACGGUCAGCUGAUACUGCGGGGCUAGAGUGCAGAAGGGGCAACUGGAAUUCUCGGUGUAGCGGUGAAAUGCGCAGAUAUCAGGAAGAACACCCGUGGCGAAGGCGGCUCUCUGGGACGGUACUGACGCUGAGACGCGAAAGCGUGGGGAGCGAACAGG
RNAcentral lists this ribosomal RNA (254 nucleotides) under uncultured bacterium. RNAcentral's name for it is "partial 16S ribosomal RNA". It matches the Rfam family "Bacterial small subunit ribosomal RNA", at positions 524 to 776 of the family's 1533-position model. The record is from RNAcentral.